AUUCUACAGUUUGAAGUUUACAUAUGCAUCCGAAUAGUAAUUUAUUUAUGAUUUAAGUGUUUAAAUGCAUUCUUUGCACUUCAGGCGAUGCACAGUUUGUUUCUGCGACGUAUCGUCUGUUCAAAGUUCCACAAGGCAGCAAGACAGAUGGAUCGAGAGUAACAUACAAAGGUUCCAUGGAAGACAAUCCAAGUGAAUUCAAGUUUAACGUUCACAAUAUAUUCACGAAAACACCGAAGAUUGUUUCUGCUGGAGUGGCAAGCGUCCUUUGUGCAUCUCGUUUCUCGAAGCAUCUUGAAUUCCAUCCGUUGGAGCCUGGGACCGCUGCCCCUGCUGAUGGCGUUGACAGUGAGGCGGACCCAUUUGCUUAUUGCGAGUCAAACAAUGUCGCUCCUGCGGCAUGUUGCGCCGAGCCGGCUAAACAGGAAAGUUGCCGUGCCAAACCUGUUGAGCAGGAAAAUGGUUGUCCGAAGCGUGCGAGGACUGACUAUGAAGGUCCUUGUUGCUAAAAGUUCACUUGAAAACUGCAAGAUGUACUGAGAGUCUGACACUCUAGUAGAUAGGAAGGAAGUAUAGCUCAGCUGAUAGCGUUUAAUAUUUGUUGUGUACUAAUAUAACUUAAAAUACGGGCUACAUUUAAUAUGUAACUUUGAAUGGGAGGAAAUAAACAUGCCUUAAGUUUCCUUA
Molecule: long non-coding RNA, 687 nt
Organism: Orbicella faveolata
Lineage: Eukaryota; Metazoa; Cnidaria; Anthozoa; Scleractinia; Merulinidae
Source: RefSeq, a predicted model, not a curated record